Molecule: signal recognition particle RNA, 282 nt
Filed under: Gonapodya prolifera JEL478
Lineage: Eukaryota; Fungi; Monoblepharomycota; Monoblepharidomycetes; Monoblepharidales; Gonapodyaceae
Description: Metazoan signal recognition particle RNA
Rfam family: Metazoan signal recognition particle RNA
About the family: The signal recognition particle (SRP) is a universally conserved ribonucleoprotein. It is involved in the co-translational targeting of proteins to membranes.
Source: Rfam by way of RNAcentral
CCCGGGUCUCGACCUGUCACCCUCGCGGGGGGCGAAUCAUGAAGGCUCUGCGGUCAGGGAGUCCGGUGCUUGGGUCGCCAUAUCGAGAAUCGAUCUGAACGAAGGUGUGGGUGGCGCAGCACCGCCAGGGAAGCCUGGCCCGUGUAUGUGCCGCAACGAGUGGUACAGCGGCUCAGAGGGUUUUCCCAGCAGGCCACACCAUCGCCCACGCCGGUCUUCAGAGCAUCGGUUUGAGUGGUUUAUCCCUGGUUAUCGCCCUACCCUCUGCCAACUUCGGUUCUU